Molecule: ribosomal RNA, 890 nt
Filed under: uncultured bacterium
Lineage: Bacteria
Description: bacterial SSU rRNA
Rfam family: Bacterial small subunit ribosomal RNA
Source: RNAcentral
UGCAGUCACGGGGGCUCAGCAAUGAGCAACCGGCGAACGGGUGCGUAACACGUGAACAACCUGCCCUCGUGUGGGGGAUAGCCAUGCUAACGCGUGGGUAAUACCGCAUACGUUCCCUUGGAGGAGUCUCUGGGGGAGGAAAGCUCCGGCGCACGGGGAGGGGUUCGCGGCCUAUCAGCUAGUUGGCGGGGUAAUGGCCCACCAAGGCGACGACGGGUAGCUGGUCUGAGAGGAUGGCCAGCCACAUUGGGACUGAGAGACGGCCCAGACUCCUACGGGAGGCAGCAGUGGGGAAUCUUGCGCAAUGGCCGAAAGGCUGACGCAGCGACGCCGCGUGUGGGAUGAAGCAUUUCGGUGUGUAAACCACUGUUGCCCGGGACGAACAGCCUGUUUCGACAGGUCUGACGGUACCGGGUGAGGAAGCAUCGGCUAACUCCGUGCCAGCAGCCGCGGUAAUACGGAGGGUGCGAGCGUUGUCCGGAAUCAUUGGGCGUAAAGGGCGCGUAGGUGGCACGGUAAGCGUGCGGUGAAAGCUCGGGGCUCAACCCCGAGUCGGCCGUGCGAACUGCUGGGCUUGAGCACUGUAGAGGCAGGCGGAAUUCCGGGUGUAGCGGUGGAAUGCGUAGAGAUCCGGAAGAACACCGGUGGCGAANGCGGCCUGCUGGGCAGUUGCUGACACUGAGGCGCGACAGCGUGGGGAGCAAACAGGAUUAGAUACCCUGGUAGUCCACGCCGUAAACGAUGGGCACUAGGCGCUUGGGGGANCGACCCCCCGAGGGCCGGCGCUAACGCAUUAAGUGCCCCGCCUGGGGANUANNNCCGCANNGCUGANCUCAAAGGAAUUGACGGGGGCCCGCACAAGCGGNGGANCAUGUGGUUUAAUUCGACGC